RNAcentral lists this ribosomal RNA (350 nucleotides) under uncultured bacterium. Its description in RNAcentral is "bacterial SSU rRNA". It matches the Rfam family "Bacterial small subunit ribosomal RNA", at positions 8 to 353 of the family's 1533-position model. The record is from RNAcentral.
AGAGUUUGAUCAUGGCUCAGGACGAACGCUGGCGGCAUGCUAACACAUGCAAGUCGAACGGGGAUACAAGAGCUUGCUUUUGUAUCUUAGUGGCGGACGGGCGAGUAACGCGUGAGCAACCUGCCCUUCAGUGGGGAAUAACGUCUGGAAACGGACGCUAAUACCGCAUAACACAACGAAGCCGCAUGACUUUGUUGUCAAAGGAUUUAUUCGCUGAAGGAUGGGCUCGCGUCCGAUUAGCUAGAUGGUGGGGUAAAGGCUCACCAUGGCGACGAUCGGUAGCCGAACUGAGAGGUUGAUCGGCCGCAUUGGGACUGAGACACCGGCCCAGACGCCUACGGGAGGCAGCA